AAAAAAAAAAAAAAAGAUUUAUUUAUUUUCUGCGCUGGGUCUUUGUUGCUGCGUGGGCUCUAGUUGUGGAACAGGCUCUGGAGCACAGGCUCAGUAGUUGUGGUGCACAGGCUUAGUCGCUCUGCAGCAUGUGGGAUCUUCCUGGACCAGGGAUCGAACCUAUGUCUCCUGCUUUGGCAGGCAGGUUCUAUGGCUUCACAAAGAGUCGGAAACAUCUGAGCGACUAACACACACACACACACACACACACACACACACUCAAGGCCCAGAAGGAAAAGCACAGCCCACGGGGCCACGGUGGAGUGGGGGAUGGGAGGACAGAGCAAUUAAUUCAACAAACGCAGUGAGGGCUUCCUGUGUGCCAGAUGUGUACAGGGCGGGGUUCUGGGAAGAGGAAACCCUAGCCUCACCCUGGAAGGUACACAGCCUGCUCACGGGACCUGAGCUGUGGGGGAGGGAAGCCGGAGGAGGAGACUGGCUUGGACCCUGCCAGGGGGGGCAUCUCUCUCAGGACGCGAGCAUCAAUAUUUCAUCCUUGCUUCGCCUGCCAGCAUCCCGCUCCCUCCUCCCUGCUUCUCACCGGCUCUAGGGCCCGGAGAGCUGGGCCACGCUGGCCUGACCCAGGGCGUCAUCACAGAUGUCCACGCUGCCUUCAGCUUGCCCGCCGUGCCAUCGUGGACUCCAGAGUCUGCGCAAGAAGCCGCCCUUCUGAGUAAGUGAGCUGGAGAGGCGGCGCCGGCAGAGGGGCCAGGCCUGGAGGGAGCGCCUGGCUCAGGGCCCCAUG
This 784-nucleotide long non-coding RNA is filed under the name Bos grunniens (domestic yak). Its description in RNAcentral is "lncRNA (ENSBGRG00000014145.1)". Lineage: Eukaryota; Metazoa; Chordata; Mammalia; Artiodactyla; Bovidae. The record is from RNAcentral.